This 578-nucleotide ribosomal RNA is filed under the name Trichophyton rubrum. RNAcentral describes it as "partial large subunit ribosomal RNA". It matches the Rfam family "Eukaryotic large subunit ribosomal RNA", at positions 82 to 671 of the family's 3401-position model. Lineage: Eukaryota; Fungi; Ascomycota; Eurotiomycetes; Onygenales; Arthrodermataceae. The record is from RNAcentral.
AGUACGGCGAGUGAGCGGCAAGAGCUCAAAAUUUGAAAUCUGGCCUCCCCCGGGGGUCCGAGUUGUAAUUUGCAGAGGAUGCUUCGGGCGCGGCCCCCGUCUAAGUUCCUUGGAACAGGACGUCAGAGAGGGUGAGAAUCCCGUCUUGGGCGGGCGGCCCGCGCCCGUGUGAAGCUCCUUCGACGAGUCGAGUUGUUUGGGAAUGCAGCUCUAAGCGGGUGGUAAAUUUCAUCUAAAGCUAAAUACCGGCCGGAGACCGAUAGCGCACAAGUAGAGUGAUCGAAAGGUUAAAAGCACCUUGAAAAGGGAGUUAAACAGCACGUGAAAUUGUUGAAAGGGAAGCGCUUGCGGCCAGACUCGGGGGGCGGGGUUCAGCGGGCGCUCGUCGCCCGUGCACUGCCCGCUCCCCGGGCCAGCAUCAGCUUCGACGGCCGGUCAAAGGCCCCCGGAAUGUGUCGUCUCUAGGGACGUCUUAUAGCCGGGGGUGCAAUGCGGCCCGUCGAGACUGAGGAACGCGCUCCGGCUCGGAUGCUGGCGUAAUGGCCGUAAGCGGCCCGUCUUUGAAACACGGACCAUUA